GACGAACGCUGGCGGCGUGCUUAACACAUGCAAGUCGAGCGGUAAGGCUCCUUCGGGAGUACACGAGCGGCGAACGGGUGAGUAACACGUGAGUAACCUGCCCCUUUCAUCGGAAUAACCAGUGGAAACGCUGGCUAAUGCCGAAUACGACCACCGAAGGCAUCUUCUGGUGGUGGAAAGCUCCGGCGGAAAGGGAUGGACUCGCGGCCUAUCAGCUUGUUGGUGAGGUAAUGGCUCACCAAGGCAACGACGGGUAGCCGGCCUGAGAGGGUGACCGGCCACACUGGGACUGAGACACGGCCCAGACUCCUAC
RNAcentral lists this ribosomal RNA (313 nucleotides) under uncultured bacterium. RNAcentral's name for it is "bacterial SSU rRNA". It matches the Rfam family "Bacterial small subunit ribosomal RNA", at positions 28 to 342 of the family's 1533-position model. The record is from RNAcentral.